RNAcentral lists this ribosomal RNA (466 nucleotides) under uncultured bacterium. Its description in RNAcentral is "partial 16S ribosomal RNA". It matches the Rfam family "Bacterial small subunit ribosomal RNA", at positions 28 to 507 of the family's 1533-position model. The record is from RNAcentral.
GAUGAACGCUGGCGGCGUGCUUAACACAUGCAAGUCGAACGGAAAGGCUCCUGCUUGCAGGGGUACUCGAGUGGCGAACGGGUGAGUAACACGUGGGUGAUCUGCCCUGCACUUCGGGAUAAGCCUGGGAAACUGGGUCUAAUACCGGAUAGGACGAUGGUUUGGAUGCCAUUGUGGAAAGUUUUUUCGGUGUGGGAUGAGCUCGCGGCGUAUCAGCUUGUUGGUGGGGUAUUGGCCUACCAAGGCGUCGACGGGUAGCCGGCCUGAGAGGGUGUACGGCCACAUUGGGACUGAGAUACGGCCCAGACUCCUACGGGAGGCAGCAGUGGGGAAUAUUGCACAAUGGGCGGAAGCCUGAUGCAGCGACGCCGCGUGGGGGAUGACGGCCUUCGGGUUGUAAACUCCUUUCGCUAGGGACGAAGCGCAAGUGACGGUACCUGGAGAAGAAGCACCGGCUAACUACGUG